RNAcentral lists this ribosomal RNA (253 nucleotides) under uncultured bacterium. RNAcentral describes it as "partial 16S ribosomal RNA". It matches the Rfam family "Bacterial small subunit ribosomal RNA", at positions 524 to 776 of the family's 1533-position model. The record is from RNAcentral.
UACGUAGGGGGCGAGCGUUGUCCGAAUUUACUGGGCGUAAAGGGCGCGUAGGCGGCUCGGUAAGUCCUGUGUGAAAUCUCCCGGCUUAACUGGGAGGGGUCAUAGGAAACUACUGGGCUUGAGGACAGCAGAGGAAGAUGGAAUUCCCGGUGUAGUGGUGAAAUGCGUAGAUAUCGGGAGGAACACCAGUGGCGAAGGCGGUCUUCUGGGCUGUUUCUGACGCUGAGGCGCGAAAGCGUGGGGAGCAAACAGG